GCAGGAGUAGCUUAGUCGGUAGAGCGGUCGGCUGUUAACCGGCAGGUCGCAGGUUCGAUCCCUGUCUCCUGCGCCA
This 76-nucleotide transfer RNA is filed under the name Promethearchaeota archaeon. RNAcentral's name for it is "tRNA-Asn". It matches the Rfam family "tRNA". From Rfam's summary of the family: Transfer RNA (tRNA) molecules are approximately 80 nucleotides in length. The record is from RNAcentral. Lineage: Archaea; Promethearchaeati; Promethearchaeota. RNAcentral also lists the same sequence under 2 other names.